RNAcentral lists this unclassified non-coding RNA (274 nucleotides) under plant metagenome. RNAcentral's name for it is "partial contains small subunit ribosomal RNA, internal transcribed spacer 1, and 5.8S ribosomal RNA". The record is from RNAcentral.
GUAGGUGAACCUGCGGAAGGAUCAUUGUUGUAUAACCGAGGUGCGAGGGCUGUCGCUGAUCCGAAAGGUCGUUCACGCCCGAGUGCCCUCACUCACAACCAUCUCACCCCUAUGUGCACCACCGCGAGUGUCCGCCUUAGACCUGUUCGGAGGAGGGCUUACGUUUUCAACUAAAAUUUACAUACAGUGUAGCAUGUGUUUUUUGGUUUUGCGAACCCGCAAGCAAUACCACUUUCAACAACGGAACUCUUGGCUCGCGCAUCGGUGUACAACC